Molecule: long non-coding RNA, 1028 nt
Organism: Amphiprion ocellaris (clown anemonefish)
Lineage: Eukaryota; Metazoa; Chordata; Actinopteri; Pomacentridae
Source: Ensembl
UAAACAUAAACAUUCCCAGAACCAAACCAGAAAGACCUAUAUCUCCUGUCAGAGACUACCUGAUUACGUAGGGAAAAAGGAAACAUAUGUUUUCCCGCAAGUUGCUUGUCAGCUAAUAGAACAGACAGAACAGAUUCCGUUCUACUAACUUAUCAACUAAUACAUGUCUCAGAUCAGAUACUACACAAUUGCAAGAUACAGCAGCCGGGACAGCGUCACCAUAACCAUGACAACAAGUAAACACUGUGUCAGUUACCUGUGUUGCAGGCCAAGCCUUCUCUCCUUUAACCUAGGCAGGUUGCGGUGUCGGCGGCCGGCAGAAUCGGGUCGGUAACACCUGCAACAAUUCAAAAAACUGAACACGUUUUUUUGCUCAUUUGAACAAACUUUUUCACUCAUAGCACACAUUUUUCAAAAAGUGAACACUAGGAAGCAGAAUUGGGACACUGUUCCAACACUGCUGUCACAAUUAAGACACAACAGGUCAAAACUGAAAACACUUUUGCCAAUGAAGUGCACACUAUAAAACCUGCUGGGAAAUAGCAUUAGCUGUUUAGAAUGGAUGUCAGAGUAGCACGAGAUCAUGUUGGAAGAAGAGGACGUGAACGACCCAGAACACAGCCAGAACCAGAACCUGGACCUGCCCAUGCACCUGAUCCUGGACCACUUUACAUGAGAGUUUUUCAGUUGGAUUCUGAUGAUACACAUGAAUACAACUAUGUGGAUGAGGCUGGUUUCAUCCUGGCCAAGAGGAAAAGCGGGAGACACAUCAUUGGACAACGGGCUAUAGUCAGCGUGGGGGCAACGUAACCCUCUGUGCUGCAAUAAGCAAUCUUGGAGUAAUUGACCGUUACGCAGUUCUGGGCCCAUAGAACACCCAGCAUUUGUUGACUUUCCUAGAUGGACUUGGUGAGGGACUACUGACAUGGGUGCAGCAGGGCAUUUGGUGAAAAGACACAGUUUUUGUUGUCUGGGACAAAGUAAGUUUUCAUAGAAGACUACUGAUUCACGAAUGGUUUGAUAUGAAC